UACGAAGGGGGCUAGCGUUGUUCGGAAUUACUGGGCGUAAAGCGCGCGUAGGCGGUGAUCAUGUCAGAGUGGAAAGCCUGGGGCUCAACCCCAGAAUUGCCUUUGAAACGGGAUCGCUAGAGUCCGAGAGAGGAUGGCGGAAUUCCUAGUGUAGAGGUGAAAUUCGUAGAUAUUAGGAAGAACACCGGUGGCGAAGGCGGCCAUCUGGCUCGGUACUGACGCUCAGGCGCGAAAGCGUGGGGAGCAAACAGGG
This 253-nucleotide ribosomal RNA is filed under the name uncultured bacterium. RNAcentral's name for it is "partial 16S ribosomal RNA". It matches the Rfam family "Bacterial small subunit ribosomal RNA", at positions 524 to 777 of the family's 1533-position model. The record is from RNAcentral.